This 1462-nucleotide long non-coding RNA is filed under the name Mytilus galloprovincialis (Mediterranean mussel). The record is from RNAcentral. Lineage: Eukaryota; Metazoa; Mollusca; Bivalvia; Mytilida; Mytilidae.
GACAUUUAAUGUAUCAUUUAUUUUUUCAGAUCAUUGUUAAAAAUAAUCAAUAGAAUCAUAUUAUCCUCCAAACUAGUGUACAGAAUAUAAAACUGUACUAAAAUAAAAAAAAAAAGUCUUUAUAUUGCCUGUUUAUCGUAAAAAAAAUCUACUGUUUAUGCAUGAAGAUAAGAUAAUGAACUCAAGUGUCCUAGCUACUUAAGUUUUAAUGAAAAUCUCAAUUUUACAUCAGUCAAGAAAAGGUGCUAACCUACUUUAAAAUUGUACCACUCUGCCCUUAAUCCUUGCUAGGACACUGAAAUUGUUCAGCAUUAAAUCCUAAUUCAAAUUAAAUGAAUUUAUACAAACAUUUAGGAAAUUAUCAACUAAAAUUUUGUAAUGGAAAAGGUAAAAAAUAAAGUCCCUGUAAAGGCACCAUCAUAAGAAAUAAAACAGAUAUGUAGAUAUCCGAAAAUUGUUAUACAAAGUAACUUUCAACUAGUACUACUCCUGUAAAAUACAUUUACACAAAAAUGUCUUUAAAGAAAUUGGAUAUCUUGCAUUUAUCAUACUUUUAAAUAAAAUGUGGUCAAUUCACUGAAAGACACCCUCCUAAAUUAUUAAAAUAAACAGCUGCACCAUGAGCCCAUGAUACGCCCAUCGUCUUGUGUAGAAGUUUUAUGCAAAAUCAUAAAUGGUUUCUGCGAAAGUUUUAAGCAAUAACCAUUUAUUAUUUUUGAGAUACGGCAGGACAUGUGAAACCCCUUUUUUGUUUUUUUGGUUUUUUUUAACAAAAAACUAAAUAUCACUAAAAUAAAAUUUUGAAUCAAAACCAAAAAGUAUACAGAUCUUGAGAUUAAUAUAACAAAGAAGUGUGUAAAGUUUUAAGCAAUAAUCAUAAAUUGUUUUUGAGAUACGGUGUGACAUGUAAAAAAAAAAACUCCCCCUUUUUUACAAAAUACUGAAUAACUCAAAAAUGAAAUUUUGAAUCAUCACCAAAAAGUAUACAGAUCUUAAGAUUAAUAUAACUUAAAAUGUGUAAAGUUUUAAGCAAUAAUCAAAAAUCGCUUUUGAGAUAAGGUGCAACAUGUGAAAAAAAAACACCCCCCUGUUUUAGUUACAAAGUGCCGUAACUCUAAAAGUUUUAAUCUUAUUUUCACCAAAAAGUAUACAGAUCAUUUAGCCAUCAUAAGAAACAACUAUUUGAAGUUUCAUGAAAUUUAGAUAAGUCGUUCUCAAGUUACGGUGCGACAUGUUUACCCCAGACAGACCGACGGACGAACACUGGACAUUUGUAUACCAUAAUAUUUUGAUGGGUGUAUAAAAACUAACAUUUUGCAUUGACAAUAAUAUCUUUGUGUAAAUUUAUAUUAGAUACACUAAUACAGAUACUGUGUAACUAAUACAUAAGAUUCUUAUAUAUAAAUAUUCAGAUUGAAAAUAAAAUUUUUGUAAAUUUAUUCUUCAUAUUAACUGUUAACAG